This 72-nucleotide transfer RNA is filed under the name human gut metagenome. It matches the Rfam family "tRNA". Rfam says of the family: Transfer RNA (tRNA) molecules are approximately 80 nucleotides in length. The record is from RNAcentral.
GGGGCAUAGCUCAGCUGGUUAGAGCACCUGCCUUACAAGCAGGGGGUCACAGGUUCGAGUCCUGUUGCCCCC